RNAcentral lists this ribosomal RNA (154 nucleotides) under Fomitiporia murrilli. RNAcentral describes it as "5.8S ribosomal RNA". It matches the Rfam family "5.8S ribosomal RNA". Rfam says of the family: 5.8S ribosomal RNA (5.8S rRNA) is a component of the large subunit of the eukaryotic ribosome. It is transcribed by RNA polymerase I as part of the 45S precursor that also contains 18S and 28S rRNA. The record is from RNAcentral. Lineage: Eukaryota; Fungi; Basidiomycota; Agaricomycetes; Hymenochaetales; Hymenochaetaceae.
UACAACUUUCAACAACGGAUCUCUUGGCUCUUGCAUCGAUGAAGAACGCAGCGAAAUGCGAUAAGUAAUGUGAAUUGCAGAAUUCAGUGAAUCAUCGAAUCUUUGAACGCACCUUGCGCCCCUUGGUAUUCCGAGGGGCAUGCCUGUUUGAGUG